RNAcentral lists this signal recognition particle RNA (99 nucleotides) under Spirochaetaceae bacterium. Its description in RNAcentral is "signal recognition particle sRNA small type". It matches the Rfam family "Bacterial small signal recognition particle RNA". From Rfam's summary of the family: The signal recognition particle (SRP) is a universally conserved ribonucleoprotein involved in the co-translational targeting of proteins to membranes. Archaeal SRP consists of a 7S RNA and homologues of the eukaryotic SRP19 and SRP54 proteins. Lineage: Bacteria; Pseudomonadati; Spirochaetota; Spirochaetia; Spirochaetales; Spirochaetaceae. The record is from RNAcentral.
AGUCAGGAACCAUGCGAAUAGACCGCGCCCAACCCCGUCAGGUCCGGAAGGAAGCAGCGGUAAGCGAUGAUUUAUGGCGCCGUGGUAUCCCUGGCGGCG